RNAcentral lists this ribosomal RNA (483 nucleotides) under uncultured bacterium. RNAcentral describes it as "partial 16S ribosomal RNA". It matches the Rfam family "Bacterial small subunit ribosomal RNA", at positions 28 to 523 of the family's 1533-position model. The record is from RNAcentral.
GAUGAACGCUGGCGGCGUGCUUAACACAUGCAAGUCGAACGAUGAAGCCCAGCUUGCUGGGUGGAUUAGUGGCGAACGGGUGAGUAACACGUGAGUAACCUGCCCUUGACUCUGGGAAUAAGCCCGGGAAACUGGGUCUAAUACCGGAUAGGAACGUCCACCGCAUGGUGGUUGUUGGAAAGAUUUAUCGGUCAUGGAUGGACUCGCGGCCUAUCAGCUUGUUGGUGAGGUAAUGGCUCACCAAGGCGACGACGGGUAGCCGGCCUGAGAGGGUGACCGGCCACACUGGGACGGAGACACGGCCCAGACUCCUACGGGAGGCAGCAGUGGGGAAUAUUGCACAAUGGGCGAAAGCCUGAUGCAGCGACGCCGCGUGAGGGAUGACGGCCUUCGGGUUGUAAACCUCUUUCAGUAGGGAAGAAGCGAAAGUGACGGUACCUGCAGAAGAAGCACCGGCUAACUACGUGCCAGCCGCCGCAGUAA